GGCGCAUUUUGGCGUCAACGUUUAGUUGAACCUUUUCAGUUCAACAAUUCUGAGGAGUUAACGCUAAAAUGGAAUUCAACGUUGAUGGUUAACUGUCCAGCUUAACCACUGUGUGGACGGUAAAAUGACAGUUGUUGUCAAAUUAUUUCCGCUAGGUGGCUGUCAAAUAUUUCCACUGGUUAUUUUUCUCAAAAGCCAUUGUUCUGAAAGUGACAGUAAAUACAAUUUUUUAAAACUCUCUAAACUCUACUAAAACUAUUUGCAAAAUGGCAGAUAAAAGAACACUUUGUCUUUUUCUGUCACAAUAUGUUUUUGAUGGCAUUCAAUCAUCCAGUGAGGAAAGUGAUUCUGAUUCAGAGGAUACAGAAUUGCUUACUGUUAUCGGAUCCACCGAAAUGGAGCGUCAUCCUCGUCAAGUUGGAUACCUGAACGUGGUAUCUGUAUACUCUGAUGCAGAUUUUUUCAAACACUUCAGGGAGAUCUUUUCUACGGUGGAAAGCUGGACGAGGAAUAUCUAAAUUGCAACGUGAACAACCAACCGUAUGCUGUAGGUGUGAUAGAUCGCUUGGCUGAAAGAAAACGGCAACAAAUCUGUGACUCCCUACAAUGAAGACAAAAAUAAAAAUUUGUUAUCAAUCCAUAAACUGAAAUAAAGUACGCAUUGUUCUUCAUUGUAA
Long non-coding RNA from Daphnia magna, 677 nucleotides. RefSeq lists it as uncharacterized. The transcript is spliced from 3 exons. The record is from RefSeq and is a predicted model, not a curated record. Lineage: Eukaryota; Metazoa; Arthropoda; Branchiopoda; Diplostraca; Daphniidae.